GCGACGGGGCCCCUGGCGACCCCUUCCCCGAGGACAGCGCCGGACUCCGAGCCCUCCUCUCGGAGCCCCGGCCGCGGGCCCUGCGCCACCCCCUGCCCCGUCCUUGACCCGGCUCUCGCCUCCGCUUCUGCCCCUUGAAACCUUGGCGAUCCUAUUUCGUGGACUCCUAGAUCGGCCCUGCUACUUGCAAAGGACCCCUUUGCUGAUGCAACUAAGGGUGACGACUUACUCCCGGCAGGGACUGAGGAUUACAUUCAUAUAAGAAUCCAGCAACGGAACGGCAGAAAGACACUGACUACUGUUCAGGGCAUUGCAGAUGAUUAUGACAAAAAGAAACUUGUGAAAGCUUUCAAAAAGAAAUUUGCCUGUAAUGGUACUGUGAUUGAACAUCCUGAAUACGGAGAGGUUAUUCAGCUUCAAGGUGACCAAAGAAAAAACAUCUGCCAGUUUCUCUUGGAGGUUGGCAUUGUAAAGGAGGAACAGCUUAAGGUUCAUGGAUUCUAAAAUGAACCUAAAUACGUGGAGAAUUUCUUGAAUAGUUUUGUUCUCUAAACCCGGUUUGGCUGCCUUGUGAAAUGAUUCCCUGCAGUAAACGGACUUUUCAUUUAUUUAAUCAUUCAAACUUCCAUUCACAUCUGCAUGAUUACAGAAAACAUGGGGUAUGUAGACUAGUAACACAUAAGAAAAUUGCAGUAAGAUGGUAACAAAACCUCAUAUUGUCUUUACAUGUUUCCAAUGGAAAAUGUUUUGAGUGUUUAUUGUUCAGUUUAUUACGUUUCACUUGAUUAAAUUUUUUUGUUGUUGUAUUAAACCAUGUACGUUGCAGCUUAAC
This 832-nucleotide long non-coding RNA is filed under the name Homo sapiens (human). Its description in RNAcentral is "long non-coding RNA NONHSAT193764.1". Lineage: Eukaryota; Metazoa; Chordata; Mammalia; Primates; Hominidae. The record is from RNAcentral.